Molecule: ribosomal RNA, 1268 nt
Filed under: Colubraria obscura
Lineage: Eukaryota; Metazoa; Mollusca; Gastropoda; Neogastropoda; Buccinidae
Description: 16S ribosomal RNA
Rfam family: Archaeal large subunit ribosomal RNA (bases 610-1268)
Source: RNAcentral
AAUCUAUAAGUAAAUAUAAAUUUAAUUAGAAUUAUUUUAUUUUAAAAACAUUUAUAAAUAAAGUAAGGGUGAUUAAAAAUUAUUUUAGCCAUAUUUUAAACUAAGUACUGUAAAGGAAUAUUAUAAAUUAUUAAUAAGAAAAAAUCAAAUUUUGUACCUUUUGUAUCAUGGUUUAACUAGAUGCUUUACUUUAUAUGAAAGUUUCUCGAAAUCUAAUGAGCUAUUUUUAUUCUCAGUAUUAGUAUAUAAAAGGUAAUUGUAGCAAAAAUUUCUUAAGAAAUAAAAAUAGAAAUGAAAUUUUAUUCGCAUUAGAUGAUAGCUAGUUCUUUCAAAAUGUAUAGAAGUACUUUAAAUAAUUUCUCUUUUUAUAAUAAAAUGUAAAAUGAGUUUUAUUUAGUUAAAUUUUUAAGGAUAAGCUUAAAAAUAGUAUUUUAAAAGGUUAUUCAAUUUUUUUUAAAAUUUAACCUUAAAAAUAGCUACAAUUUUGAUUUUGUUACAAUUUCAUUCAAUUUUGAAUAAAAUAAUUAAUUUACUAGACUUAAUGAAAGAAAACUUUUGAACUGAUUAAAAGGUUAAAUUUAUGUUAAAAUGAGUAUAAACAAAUAUAUAUUAAUUUUAAAUAUAUUUAUAUUAAAAUUAUUUUAUGUUUUCUCAAAAAAAUUAUAAAAAGGAACUCGGCAAAAUCAUAUUCUGCCUGUUUAGCAAAAACAUGGCUCCUGUCAAAUUUAAAUAGGGAGUCGAGCCUGCCCAGUGAAAAUUUUUUUAACGGCCGCAGUACUUUGACUGUGCAAAGGUAGCAUAAUCAUUUGCCUUAUAAUUGAAGGCUAGUAUGAAUGGUUUGACAAGAAUAUAACUGUCUCUUUAUAAUUUAGUAGAAUUUUUUUUAUAAGUGAAGAAACUUAUAUCUAAUUAAUAGACAAGAAGACCCUAUCGAGCUUUAAAAAAUUUAAAGGAAUAAAUAUUUAUAAUUUUAAAAAAUUUACUUUUAAGAAUUUUAGUUGGGGCGACUGAGGAACAAAAAAAGCUUCCUUUUUUAAAAAGACAAGCAAGUAUUGAUCCAUGAUAUGUUGAUUAAAGGAAUUAGUUACCGUAGGGAUAACAGCAUUAUCUUUUUUGAGAGCACCUAUCGAAAAAAAGGUUUGUGACCUCGAUGUUGGACCAGAAUAACCUAAAGAUGUAGCAGUCUUUAAGGGUUGGUCUGUUCGACCAUUAAAAUUCUACGUGAUCUGAGUUCAGACCGGCGUGAGCCAGGUCAGUUUCUAUCUUUA